CGAAGAAUGACGGGGAAUCGCCGGCUUCUCCCCGGAUUCCGGGGAAGAGCGGGAGGAAAGUCCGGGCUCCACAGGGCAGGAUGGUUCCUAACAGGAACCGGGGGUGACCCCAGGGAAAGUGCCACAGAAAGGAUACCGCCUUUUUCGGGGGAAAGCGGUUUUUCCCGGAAGAAAGAGGUAAGGGUGAAAUGGUGGGGCAAGAGCCCACCAGCUGCGGCGGCGACGCCGCAGGCUCGGUAAACCCCAUCCGGAGCAAGGCCAAAUAGGAAAGCGUUUGAGGACGGCCCGUCCAAGGCUUUCGGGUCUGGCCGCUCGAGACCGCCGGUGACGGCGGUCCUAGAUGAAUGAUUUCCGGCUGCCGGCGGGCAACCGACGGCGGAGACAGAACCCGGCUUACAGUGUUCUUCGGCCA
Molecule: RNase P RNA, 412 nt
Filed under: Deltaproteobacteria bacterium
Lineage: Bacteria; Pseudomonadati; Myxococcota; Myxococcia
Description: RNase P RNA component class A
Rfam family: Bacterial RNase P class A
About the family: Ribonuclease P (RNase P) is a ubiquitous endoribonuclease, found in archaea, bacteria and eukarya as well as chloroplasts and mitochondria. Its best characterised activity is the generation of mature 5'-ends of tRNAs by cleaving the 5'-leader elements of precursor-tRNAs.
Source: RNAcentral